Molecule: ribosomal RNA, 1012 nt
Filed under: Corynebacterium kroppenstedtii
Lineage: Bacteria; Bacillati; Actinomycetota; Actinomycetes; Mycobacteriales; Corynebacteriaceae
Description: bacterial LSU rRNA
Rfam family: Bacterial large subunit ribosomal RNA
Source: RNAcentral
GACAACCAGGAGGUUGGCUUAGAAGCAGCCACCCUUUAAAGAGUGCGUAAUAGCUCACUGGUCAAGUGAUUCCGCGCCGACAAUGUAGCGGGGCUCAAGCACAUCACCGAAGCUGUGGCAAUGACACACUGACCCUUAACGGGGGUGUUGUUGGGUAGGGGAGCGUCGUGUGGCGAGUGAAGCGGCCGAGUGAUCGAGUCGUGGAUGCUACACGAGUGAGAAUGCAGGCAUGAGUAGCGAAUGACGGGUGAGAAACCCGUCCGCCGAAUAACCAAGGGUUCCAGGGUCAAGCUAAUCUGCCCUGGGUAAGUCGGGACCUAAGGCGAGGCCGACAGGCGUAGUCGAUGGACAUCCGGUUGAUAUUCCGGAACCGGCGAAGAAGCUAAUCUGCCCUGGGUAAGUCGGGACCUAAGGCGAGGCCGACAGGCGUAGUCGAUGGACAUCCGGUUGAUAUUCCGGAACCGGCGAAGAACCGCCCAUACUGAACCAUGGGAUGCUAAACACCCGAACCAUGCCAACCGGUCCUUCGGGAUCAUCUGGUGUGGGGAGCGUGUGACCCGAUCGUGUAGUAGGUAAGCGAUGGAGUGACGCAGGAAGGUAGCCUCCGCGGGGCGAUGGUAGUCCCCGUCCAAGCAUGUAGGCCCACUGGUAGGUAAAUCCGUCAGUGAUGUGGCUGAGAUGUGAUGGUGACCACGUAUGUGGGAAGCAGGGUGAUCCUAUGCUGUCGAGAAAAACUUCUAGCGAGGUUCGAGCCGCCCGUACCCCAAACCGACUCAGGUGGUUAGGUAGAGAAUACUAAGGCGAUCGAGUGAAUCGUGGUUAAGGAAUUCGGCAAAAUGCCCCCGUAACUUCGGGAGAAGGGGGGCCCAAACCUUGAAGCCCGUACGGGCUAGGGGUGAGGGUCGCAGAGACCAGGGAGAAGCGACUGUUUACUAAAAACACAGGUCCGUGCGAAGAAGUAAUUCGAUGUAUACGGACUGACGCCUGCCCGGUGCUGGAAGGUUAAGAGGAC